UCUGGUUGAUCCUGCCAGUAGUGAUAUGCUUGUUUCAAAGAUUAAGCCAUGCAUGUCUAAGUAUAAGCGAACUUAUACAGUGAAACUGCGGAUGGCUCAUUAAAACAGUUUGAAUUUAUUUGAUGAAUGUAUGAGAAUACUACUUGGAUAACCGUAGUAAUUCUAGAGCUAAUACAUGCAACGACGCCCGACCGUUUCACUACGGAAGGGCUGUAUUUAUUGGAUACCAAAACCAUCCUUCCCUCGGGAAGUUUUGUUUGAUGAUUCACAAUAACUGAUCGGAUCGCCACUGUGGUGGCGACAGGUCAUUCAACAUUCUGCCAUAUCAGCUUUCGAUGGUUGUGUAGUGGACAACCAUGGCCAUAACGGGUAACGGAGAAUCAGGGUUCGAUUCCGGAGAAGGAGCUUGAGAAUUGGCUACUACAUCUAAGGAAGGCAGCAGGCGCGCAAAUUACCCAAUCCCGAUUCGGGGAGGUAGUGACAAAAAAUAACAAUACCGGGCCUUUUUGGGCUUGGUAAUUGGAAUGAGGGAGAGUUAAACGGACCAUCGAGUAUCCAUUGGAGGGCAAGUCUGGUGCCAGCAGCUGCGGUAAUACCAGCUCCAAUAGCGUAUAUUAAAGUUGUUGCAGUUAAAAGCUCGUAGUUGGACUUGUGUGCGCUGUCCGCGGGUGGCCUGCGCCCAAAAGGGCGUUUCGGUUCGGCCCCGGUGGCGCCUUGAAAUCUGCAGCUGGGGGGACGUUGGCCUUAACUGGUCGGCGACCGCACGCCGGCUGCUCGGUUACUGUGAGAAAAUUAGAGUGUUCAAGGCAGGCAUUGGGUGCAAUUGAAUACAUUAGCAUGGAAUAAUAAAAUAUGGCUCCUGCCGUAUUUUGUUGGUUUUGACUGGUGGGAGUAAUGAUUGAUAGGGACGGUUGGGGGUGCUAGUAUUGAGCGGCCAGAGGUGAAAUUCAUGGAUUCGCUCAAGACUAACUUAUGCGAAAGCAUUCACCAAGGACGUCCUCUUUAAUCAAGAACGAAAGUUGGGGGAUCGAAGACGAUCAGAUACCGUCGUAGUCUCAACCAUAAACUAUGUCGACUUGGGAUCGGCGGUAGUUUUUUCAUUAAGACACUGUCGGGACCACGGGAGAAAUCAAAGUGUCUGGACUCUGGGGGAAGUAUGGUCGCAAGGCUGAAACUUGAAGGAAUUGACGGAAGGGCACCACCAGGAGUGGAGCCUGCGGCUUAAUUUGACCCAACACGGGGAAACUUACCAGGUCCAGAGAUGUAGAGGAUUGACAGAUUGAAGCUCUUUCUUGAUCACUUCGGUGGUGGUGCAUGGCCG
Molecule: ribosomal RNA, 1321 nt
Filed under: metagenome
Description: SSU rRNA
Rfam family: Eukaryotic small subunit ribosomal RNA
Source: RNAcentral